Molecule: ribosomal RNA, 469 nt
Filed under: uncultured archaeon
Lineage: Archaea
Description: bacterial SSU rRNA
Rfam family: Archaeal small subunit ribosomal RNA
Source: RNAcentral
UUCCGGUUGAUCCUGCCGGAGGCUACUGCUAUCGGAGUCCGAUUUAGCCAUGCUAGUCCACCGAUUCGUUCGGGGAGGAUAGCUGAGUAACACGUGGCCAACCUGCCCUGUGGAUGGAGAUAACCUUGGGAAACUGAGGCUAAUAUCCAAUAGCAGAGGAAUACUGGAAUGUUUCCUCUGUGAAAUGUUCCGACGCCACAGGAUGGGGCCGCGGCUGAUUAGGUCGUUGGUGAGGUAACGGCUCACCAAGCCAGUAAUCAGUAGCAGCCGUGAGAGCGGGAGCUGUCAGUCGUGUUCUGAGACAAGAACACGGGCCCUACGGGGCGCAGCAGGCACGAAACCUUUACAAUGCACGCAAGUGCGAUAAGGGGACUCCGAGUGCGGUCUUCCCACAAGGAAGGCCGCUUUUCUGUACUGUAAGGAGGUACAGGAACAAGGGGUGGGCAACACUGCUGCCAGCCGCCGCGGU